Molecule: ribosomal RNA, 327 nt
Filed under: uncultured eukaryote
Lineage: Eukaryota
Description: partial 18S ribosomal RNA
Rfam family: Eukaryotic small subunit ribosomal RNA
Source: RNAcentral
CCCUUAGAUGUUCUGGGCCGCACGCGCGCUACACUGACGAAUGCAACGAGCUUAUAACCUUGGCCGAAAGGUCUGGGUAAACUCCAAAUUUCGUCGUGAUGGGGAUAGAUUAUUGCAAUUAUUAAUCUUCAACGAGGAAUGCCUAGUAAGCGCAAGUCAUCAGCUUGCGUUGAUUACGUCCCUGCCCUUUGUACACACCGCCCGUCGCUCCUACCGAUUGAAUGGUCCGGUGAAGCGUUCGGACCGUGGCCUUUGGACGGUUCGCCGUCUGUUGGCUGCGGGAAGUUCGUUAAACCUUAUCAUUUAGAGGAAGGAGAAGUCGUAACA